AGGUUCCUAUUUAAGCCUCCCUGCUAAGAACAAAAAAAUAAAGAGCUCUUCCUGGAGUUCUCUAUAGUGUUCUUUUACAUUCUACUACUUCUCCAUGGCUAUGAAGCUUCACCUCACAGUAGCAAUAUUACUCCUCUGUGUCCUCACUGAGGUUCCUCUUCAAAAAACAGUGGUGGUGGAAGCUGACCUGGUGGUUCCAAGAGAUCCGAACAACAAACCGGCCCCUAUCCUUGGUUGGUUUUCUUCUUUUUUUUUUUUUUCUUUUUCUUUUUUCUCUAUUAUUUCUUGUUGUGUCGUAUGUUAGAGCUCUUGGUACUUCUCAUUUACUUGCUUAUUAAUUUUAUAGAUUAGGCCUAGUUAAUAGAUUAUGUUUCUGUUUUCUCAAUACAAUUACUAAUAAAACAGCAUUCAUUACUGAAUCUUUUCAUAUAAAGACUUAACUAAACUUAAUCUAAUUUUAUAUCAUUGAACCGACCGUUUCUAGAGUAAGU
Molecule: long non-coding RNA, 491 nt
Organism: Ananas comosus (pineapple)
Lineage: Eukaryota; Viridiplantae; Streptophyta; Magnoliopsida; Poales; Bromeliaceae
Exons: 3
Source: RefSeq, a predicted model, not a curated record